Molecule: non-coding RNA, 32 nt
Filed under: Mus musculus (house mouse)
Lineage: Eukaryota; Metazoa; Chordata; Mammalia; Rodentia; Muridae
Source: RNAcentral
UGAAACUUAGCAGAUUCAUUAGGUUCCUCCUU